UUAAAUUGAAGAGUUUGAUCAUGGCUCAGAUUGAACGCUGGCGGCAGGCCUAACACAUGCAAGUCGAACGGUAACAGGAAGCAGCUUGCUGCUUCGCUGACGAGUGGCGGACGGGUGAGUAAUGUCUGGGAAACUGCCUGAUGGAGGGGGAUAACUACUGGAAACGGUGGCUAAUACCGCAUAACGUCGCAAGACCAAAGAGGGGGACCUUCGGGCCUCUUGCCAUCAGAUGUGCCCAGAUGGGAUUAGCUUGUUGGUGAGGUAACGGCUCACCAAGGCGACGAUCCCUAGCUGGUCUGAGAGGAUGACCAGCCACACUGGAACUGAGACACGGUCCAGACUCCUACGGGAGGCAGCAGUGGGGAAUAUUGCACAAUGGGCGCAAGCCUGAUGCAGCCAUGCCGCGUGUAUGAAGAAGGCCUUCGGGUUGUAAAGUACUUUCAGCGGGGAGGAAGGUGUUGUGGUUAAUAACCGCAGCAAUUGACGUUACCCGCAGAAGAAGCACCGGCUAACUCCGUGCCAGCAGCCGCGGUAAUACGGAGGGUGCAAGCGUUAAUCGGAAUUACUGGGCGUAAAGCGCACGCAGGCGGUCUGUCAAGUCGGAUGUGAAAUCCCCGGGCUCAACCUGGGAACUGCAUUCGAAACUGGCAGGCUUGAGUCUUGUAGAGGGGGGUAGAAUUCCAGGUGUAGCGGUGAAAUGCGUAGAGAUCUGGAGGAAUACCGGUGGCGAAGGCGGCCCCCUGGACAAAGACUGACGCUCAGGUGCGAAAGCGUGGGGAGCAAACAGGAUUAGAUACCCUGGUAGUCCACGCCGUAAACGAUGUCUACUUGGAGGUUGUGCCCUUGAGGCGUGGCUUCCGGAGCUAACGCGUUAAGUAGACCGCCUGGGGAGUACGGCCGCAAGGUUAAAACUCAAAUGAAUUGACGGGGGCCCGCACAAGCGGUGGAGCAUGUGGUUUAAUUCGAUGCAACGCGAAGAACCUUACCUGGUCUUGACAUCCACAGAACUUUCCAGAGAUGGACUGGUGCCUUCGGGAACUGUGAGACAGGUGCUGCAUGGCUGUCGUCAGCUCGUGUUGUGAAAUGUUGGGUUAAGUCCCGCAACGAGCGCAACCCUUAUCCUUUGUUGCCAGCGGUUAGGCCGGGAACUCAAAGGAGACUGCCAGUGAUAAACUGGAGGAAGGUGGGGAUGACGUCAAGUCAUCAUGGCCCUUACGACCAGGGCUACACACGUGCUACAAUGGCGCAUACAAAGAGAAGCGACCUCGCGAGAGCAAGCGGACCUCAUAAAGUGCGUCGUAGUCCGGAUUGGAGUCUGCAACUCGACUCCAUGAAGUCGGAAUCGCUAGUAAUCGUGGAUCAGAAUGCCACGGUGAAUACGUUCCCGGGCCUUGUACACACCGCCCGUCACACCAUGGGAGUGGGUUGCAAAAGAAGUAGGUAGCUUAACCUUCGGGAGGGCGCUUACCACUUUGUGAUUCAUGACUGGGGUGAAGUCGUAACAAGGUAACCGUAGGGGAACCUGCGGUUGGAUCACCUCCUUACCUGAAAGAA
Molecule: ribosomal RNA, 1554 nt
Filed under: Salmonella enterica subsp. enterica serovar Hvittingfoss str. SA20014981
Lineage: Bacteria; Pseudomonadati; Pseudomonadota; Gammaproteobacteria; Enterobacterales; Enterobacteriaceae
Description: bacterial SSU rRNA
Rfam family: Bacterial small subunit ribosomal RNA
Source: RNAcentral